GAUGAAGAACGUAGCGAACUGCGAUAAGUAAUGUGAAUUGCAGAAUUCAGUGAAUCAUCGAAUCUUUGAACGCACAUUGCGCCCCCUGGUAUUCCGGGGGGCAUGCCUGUCCGAGCGUCAUUGCUGCCCUCAAGCACGGCUUGUGUGUUGGGCCUCCGUCCUCCUCCCGGGGGACGGGCCCGAAAGGCAGCGGCGGCACCGCGUCCGGUCCUCGAGCGUAUGGGGCUUCGUCACCCGCUCUUGUAGGCCCGGCCGGCGCUUGCCGACACAUCAAUCUUUUUUCCAGGUUGACCUCGGAUCAGGUAGGGAUACCCGCUGAACUUAAGCAUAUCAAUAAGCGGAGGA
This 345-nucleotide unclassified non-coding RNA is filed under the name soil metagenome. RNAcentral describes it as "partial contains 5.8S ribosomal RNA, internal transcribed spacer 2, and large subunit ribosomal RNA". The stretch from base 1 to 120 matches the Rfam family "5.8S ribosomal RNA", at positions 35 to 154 of the family's 154-position model. The record is from RNAcentral.